ACAUCGGAACGUGUCCUGUAGUGGGGGAUAGCCCGGCGAAAGCCGGAUUAAUACCGCAUACGCUCUACGGAGGAAAGGGGGGGAUCUUAGGACCUCCCGCUACAGGGGCGGCCGAUGGCAGAUUAGCUAGUUGGUGGGGUAAAGGCCUACCAAGGCGACGAUCUGUAGCUGGUCUGAGAGGACGACCAGCCACACUGGGACUGAGACACGGCCCAGACUCCUACGGGAGGCAGCAGUGGGGAAUUUUGGACAAUGGGGGCAACCCUGAUCCAGCAAUGCCGCGUGUGUGAAGAAGGCCUUCGGGUUGUAAAGCACUUUUGUCCGGAAAGAAAACGCCGUGGUUAAUACCCGUGGCGGAUGACGGUACCGGAAGAAUAAGCACCGGCUAACUACGUGCCAGCAGCCGCGGUAAUACGUAGGG
This 421-nucleotide ribosomal RNA is filed under the name Burkholderia sp. Z4_80_16. RNAcentral's name for it is "bacterial SSU rRNA". It matches the Rfam family "Bacterial small subunit ribosomal RNA", at positions 115 to 532 of the family's 1533-position model. The record is from RNAcentral. Lineage: Bacteria; Pseudomonadati; Pseudomonadota; Betaproteobacteria; Burkholderiales; Burkholderiaceae.